This 466-nucleotide ribosomal RNA is filed under the name uncultured bacterium. Its description in RNAcentral is "partial 16S ribosomal RNA". It matches the Rfam family "Bacterial small subunit ribosomal RNA", at positions 28 to 507 of the family's 1533-position model. The record is from RNAcentral.
GACGAACGCUGGCGGCGCGCCUAACACAUGCAAGUCGAACGAGCGAGAGAGAGCUUGCUUUCUUGAGCGAGUGGCGAACGGGUGAGUAACGCGUGAGGAACCUGCCUCAAAGAGGGGGACAACAGUUGGAAACGACUGCUAAUACCGCAUAAGCCCACGGUGCCGCAUGGCACAGAGGGAAAAGGAGCAAUCCGCUUUGAGAUGGCCUCGCGUCCGAUUAGCUAGUUGGUGAGGUAACGGCCCACCAAGGCGACGAUCGGUAGCCGGACUGGGAGGUUGAACGGCCACAUUGGGACUGAGACACGGCCCAGACUCCUACGGGAGGCAGCAGUGGGGAAUAUUGCACAAUGGGGGAAACCCUGAUGCAGCGACGCCGCGUGGAGGAAGAAGGUCUUCGGAUUGUAAACUCCUGUUGUUGGGGAAGAUAAUGACGGUACCCAACAAGGAAGUGACGGCUAACUACGUG